This is a long non-coding RNA of Nyctereutes procyonoides (raccoon dog), 354 nucleotides long. RefSeq lists it as uncharacterized. The transcript has 3 exons. The record is from RefSeq and is a predicted model, not a curated record. Lineage: Eukaryota; Metazoa; Chordata; Mammalia; Carnivora; Canidae.
CUGGGCCCUGUUCUGGAUGACCGGGAGUCAGCAGUGAGCAAAACAGAGCUUCUCUGCUGGAGUUCGCACACUCGUGACCACAAGCAAGCCAACAUGGCAGGCAGGGGAAAAUAAAGCAAGGAAAUGUCCUAGAGGCCAAAGGCCACGGUCCUGGAAGACAUUCUGAUUCCAGAGAAUAAAUGAAGAGACUGGGACUUGGGAACAUCCUAGUUAAUCCUGAAAUCCUAAUAAAUGUUAACAAAAGGCUCAUAUUCUAGGACAAAACGGAUACUUGAUUUAACUUUCUGUACCAUCGGACCCUGUGUUGGUUCCAAGGCACUAUGACAAACAGGAGACAGCGCCGAAAAGCUGAAC